UGGGAGCCGCCGGAUUCGGUUUUAAAAAACGCCGGGGGAGUCGGCGGCGCGAGCCAUUGGAACCCCAGGCAGCGCGUCGCGCGUGGGUCCGGCCCCGCGGGCGCACGCGACCCGGGCGCUCCCAGGCCUCCCAGGCGCCAGCCUCCGCCCGCGAGCCCAGGAGGCGGGGAAGGAGCCGCGCACCGAGACCCUCCGCGUCCGCCAUGGGCCCGCGCCGCCGGGGACGCAAGGCCGGCACCCCCAGGAGGCGCGCCGCGAGCCCGGCCCCCGCCACCCCUCGGCGGGGCGCCCCCUCAGGCACUCCUUCCCGUCCACCUGCGCGCCCAUCCCAUCGCCCAUCUGCCCGCCGGGGACAUCUGAUCUUGAAGGAGAUCCGGAAUCUUCAGAAGAGCACGCACCUGUUAUUAAGGAAGAUGCCCUUUUGCCGCCUGGUCAGAGAAAUAUGUGUUAAAUUCACUCGUGGCGUGGACUUCAACUGGCAAGCCCAUGCCCUGCUGGCCCUACAGGAGGCGGCAGAAGCGUUCCUAGUCCAUCUCUUUGAGGACGCCUACCUCCUGUCCCUGCAUGCCGGGCGCGUCACCCUCUUCCCGAAGGACGUGCAGCUGGCCAGGAGGAUCCGCGGCAUCCAGGAAGGGCUGGGCUGAGCAGCCGCCCGUAAGCCUGCCCUGCCCGCCAGGGCCCGUGGGGGCGGGAGGAGCGCCCGCCUCCCAUCCGCGGGGAGGGGGGGAUGACACCAGGGACUCUGUCUGGAGCCGGGACCAGAUCCGGGGAGUCCGGGAUGCUGCCUGGACUUGCUACCUCUGAGCCGAGUGUGCAUGUUGGUUUUGUAAUGUUUUUUUUUUGUUGUUGUUGUUUUAAGAACUUCGUGCCUCUCCUCUGCAACAAGGUCAUGUAUAAGAAAAUUAACAUGGUUCCAGAGGCCUGAGAAGUAUUUUCAGAGAGACUCUGAGGUUGCCUUCCGUGUAUACAUUACUCACAUCACUGCUUAGCGAUUCUGAAGACAUCAGAUUUGUUAAUUACCAUUUCCAUCUCCCUCCUCCCUUCGUUUACAUUUUUUACCGCUUGUAUAUUUACUUCUAUUUAACGCACCAGGGAAAAAUAAGAGAAGAACACUCCCGUCCAUUGCAUGGGGAGCCUGUACCUCUCUGUCCUUUAAUUAACUUCAUUGGCGGCGGCAAGUGCCGAUGCAGAGCCACACGCUGUCCCCGUGGCCCAAUGGCCUGACGUUGGUACUGAGCUAUGGAGUCGGUGUGUGGUGGCUGUCAACUGUAGCUUCUCAAAAACUCAGUUGGGGUGGAAACUGAAUAUCUUUUAAAGUUAAAUGUUCCGACUCUUCUUGGUAAAUGUCUGUCAAAAUCAUUCAAGAGCUCUAUCGUAUACAAAUGUGUAAAUCACAGAAGAUGCAACAUGUAUUUAGAAUUUUUCAUCCCAGGAUUUUAAAGUGACUUUUCAAUGUAUGGACAGGUAUUUUCAUAACUUCUUUGCGGAGAGAUUAUAAAAAAUAAAAAUAAUUAUUUUAUGAAA
Pipistrellus kuhlii (Kuhl's pipistrelle) is the source of this 1524-nucleotide RNA transcript. It is a transcript of the gene named centromere protein A, with no coding region annotated. The record is from RefSeq and is a predicted model, not a curated record. The transcript has 5 exons. NCBI's taxonomy places the organism in Eukaryota, Metazoa, Chordata, Mammalia, Chiroptera, Vespertilionidae.